This 80-nucleotide transfer RNA is filed under the name Nicotiana tabacum (common tobacco). RNAcentral's name for it is "tRNA-Leu (TAG) (tRNA-Leu-TAG-9-1)". It matches the Rfam family "tRNA". Rfam says of the family: Transfer RNA (tRNA) molecules are approximately 80 nucleotides in length. The record is from Rfam by way of RNAcentral. Lineage: Eukaryota; Viridiplantae; Streptophyta; Magnoliopsida; Solanales; Solanaceae.
GACAGUUUGGCCGAGUGGUCUAAGGCGCCAGAUUUAGGCUCUGGUCCGAAAGUGCUUGGGUUCAAAUCCCACAGCUGUCA